Molecule: non-coding RNA, 45 nt
Filed under: Schistosoma curassoni
Lineage: Eukaryota; Metazoa; Platyhelminthes; Trematoda; Strigeidida; Schistosomatidae
Source: RNAcentral
AUCCAGUAGACGAGUCCCAAAUAAAACAAAAUGAGCGUCCUGGAU